GUUUGGCACCUCGAUGUCGGCUCAUCACAUCCUGGGGCUGUAGCCGGUCCCAAGGGUAUGGCUGUUCGCCAUUUAAAGUGGUACGCGAGCUGGGUUUAGAACGUCGUGAGACAGUUCGGUCCCUAUCCGGCGUGGGCGUAGGAUAUUUGAGAGGAGCUGUCCUUAGUACGAGAGGACCGGGAUGGACGGACCGCUGGUGUACCUGUUGUUCUGCCAAGAGCAUGGCAGGGUAGCCAAGUCCGGAAGGGAUAAACGCUGAAGGCAUCUAAGCGUGAAGCCCCCCUCAAGAUGAGAUAUCCCAUUCGAAAGAAGUAAGGCCCCUUAGAG
This 327-nucleotide ribosomal RNA is filed under the name Cyclophora tenuis. RNAcentral's name for it is "partial Bacterial large subunit ribosomal RNA". It matches the Rfam family "Bacterial large subunit ribosomal RNA", at positions 2516 to 2843 of the family's 2925-position model. The record is from RNAcentral. Lineage: Eukaryota; Bacillariophyta; Fragilariophyceae; Cyclophorales; Cyclophoraceae.